Molecule: long non-coding RNA, 8122 nt
Organism: Mirounga angustirostris (Northern elephant seal)
Lineage: Eukaryota; Metazoa; Chordata; Mammalia; Carnivora; Phocidae
Exons: 3
Source: RefSeq, a predicted model, not a curated record
AUAAAAUCUUUAAAAAAAAAAUGCACAUUAAAAUGACAUGGAGAUACAUAUCUCACCCUUGUGAUUGGCACACAUCUAAAAUGUUGAUAGCAUACUCUGUUGGCCAGGCUGUGAGGAAACAGACACUCUGAUAUGCUGGGUACGGAAACGCAAACUGGGACAACCUCCACCAUAGGAGAUUUGGCAAUAUCUAGCUGGCACAUCCAGCAAUACCUUUUUAUUAUGCAAUCCUGAUAUAAGAAGUGGUUGGGGUUAGAAGCCGACGUUCAAGAAAGAAUUCUUGAGACGUCUUCUUUUUUUUUUUUUUUUUAAGAUUUUAUUUAUUUAUUUAUUUGACAGAGAGAGACAGCUAGAGAGGGAACACAAGCAGGGGGAGAGGGACAGGGAGAAGCAGGCUUCCCGCGGAGCAGGGAGCCCAAAACGGGGCUCGAUCUCAGGACCCUGGGAUCAUGACCUGAGCCAAAGGCAGACGCUUAACAACUGAGCCACCCAGGCGCAGAAGGAAGACGUCUUUUGUGCAGAACAGUGGUUUUAUUAAAGCACGGGGAUGGGACCCGUGGGCAGGAAGAGAAGCACUGGAUUCAUAAGGAGUGGCCCAUUAUAUACUUUCAAGUUGGGAAGGGAUUAGGGAUAGCAUGUCUCCAAGGAAUUUGGGAGCACGGUUCCCAGGACCUUGAGGGGGCUAGCUAUUGUUAGGAAAAGGUCAUUUAUUACUGUCCAAUAAAACACUAGUCAUGAGACCUUUCAGAUGUAUUUCGUUGGGUCAUAUGCUUGGAGAAGGAUUAGCAACAUGUAUCUUGGGGGAUAGGGAUAAAGGAAGUUUCCAAAGGAAUUUUUAUUUAUUUAUUUUUAAAGAUUUUCUUUAUUCAUUUGACAGAGAGAGAGACAGUGAGAGAGGGAACACAAGCAGGGGGAGUGGCAGAGGGAGAAGCAGGCUUCCCUCUGAGGAGGGAGCCCGAUGCGGGGCUCGAUCCCAGGACCUCGGGAUCAUGACCUGGCUGAAGGUAGAUGCUUAACAACUGAGCCACCCAGGCGCCCCCAAAGGAAUUUUUAUAUGUUAAAGUAGACUUACAGAAUCCUAGGGGGUCGGGAUAAUGUUAAGCUAUGAUUGCCUUUUGCCCUUAGCAAAGUAUUAACAUGGAGGCAGCUGAGCUCCUAAAGGAAUGUCCCUCUGCCUGUUUCAAGGACUUGUCAAUGGGCUGCAAGUAGGAAGGAAAUUUUUCUUCUGCUUUUGCUCCCACAUCAAUCCCACUUUUGGAAAUCUAUCCCAAAGAUACUCCAGCAAAAAUAUGAAAAGGAAUAUGUGCUAUUAAACACAGAAUUAUCUGUAAAAGCUGGAACUGUCAAUAAGACUGCGGCACCUCCACACAAAGGAGUAUUAUGCAAUUGUAAAGAGCAGUGAGGGGGCGCCCGGCUGGCUCAGUCCCUAGAGCAUGUGACUCUUGAUCUUGGGGUCUUGAGUUCAAGCCCCACCUUGGACUUAGAGCUGACUUAAAAAAAAAAAAAAAGGAAUGAGGAAUAUGCUACUAUGGAAUGAUCGUCAAGAAAUACUUUCAAGUGAAUAAAGUGAGGUGUAGGACAUGUGCAUGUGAAUAGUAUGCUCUUGUUUAUCUAAAAAAGGAGCUGUAAAUAUAUAUAUAUAUUUCUAACAUAAAAAUAAUGGAAAAGGGGGCACCUUGGUGGCCCAGUUGGUUAAGUGUCUGCCUUUGGCUCAGGUCAUGAUCUCAGGGUCCUGGGAUCAAGCCCUUCAUCAGGCUCCCUGCUCAGUGGAGAGUCUGCAUCUCCCUCUCCCUCCUCCCCCCUCCCCCCUGCUCUGUCUCUGUCUCUCAAAUAAAUAAAUAAAUAAAUAAAUAAAUAAAUAAAUAAAUAAAAAGAUGGAAAUAUAAAAUAUAAACAGUAUAAUUAGGGAGAGGGAAGAAUAAGGUGGAAAGGACAGGGAUAGAAGACAAACUUUGAAUAUACCUUGUUUUGCAGAGUUGAUUUUAGAACCAUGUAAAUAUUUUAAAUAACUAUAAAAUAAAUUUAAAAGUGAAAGCAAUUCAAUUCCAUUAAAAAACAUAUGAAUUCUAUUAUUUUCAAAACAAAGGUUUUUUUUAUUUUUUUAUUUUUUAAGAUUUUAUUUAUUUGUCAGAGAGAGAGAGCUCUGCCUGCUGCCCCUCCUCCCCCCCCAGGCAGAGGAAAAAAGUUUUUUUUUUAAAGAGAGAGUUGGCUACAAUUCAAAAGCUACAUAAAUGAGUUAACACCUCUGCUUCCUCUCAGGCUAAGGUCUCAUCUUUUCUUUCAUGGGAUGAAGUCUCCCUCUAGCGGAGGCUAGUUUUAGAACUAGUCCCCGAAACCCUGCACCACAAAGGAAAUCUUUUGCUCAUUGUCUCCUGCCCCCAUCCUUAAAUUACAUAAGUACUAGAGUCACCAGCAGGAGGAUGUGGUAGAAGAUUCUGAGCAAUGGGAGAGCAAAGAGUCAGGGACAGAGUCAAGCUUUAGAAGGAAGCUGGGGGAAUGAGAAACAGGACAGACUCUGAGAGCCUUGAAGACUAGGGGGAGGAAUUUCAGCUUCCUAUGGGCGGAGCAUUCCCACCGCCCGGGGCCAGAGCGAGGUGAUUAACAUGCUAAUGUCACUGUGUCCUCGGGGGAACUAGGCAAGGCAUUGCCUUAAGGGAAGCCCUGAGGAGAAGUGGAGGGGACGAAUCGGGAUUCUCAGGAAUCAGCUAAAGUGUGAUGGGGAUGAAUUCCAGGCAUCCCUCCCAUCCCUCAAGACUCUCUCAGAGCCUCGCUGACGUUGGGGUCGGAUGCUGUGGUCCACUGGGUGAAAGUUUGGCCUUCCCCGAGAUGGGUCAGGGGAAAAGCCCUGGCACAGCCUCUUCCGUUCCUGGUAGGGUGACCACAACUUGGUCCACACUGAAAGUGGCCUCUGGGGAGAAUGAUGGCAGGAGGAUCCUUGUGUUCUGGCCACUCCAGGUCUCAUCUGACUUCACCUACUGGAAAUGACUCAGUGGAAAACUCCCUUGGCAGGGAAACCUUUCGAGUGGAGCCUCUUUUUUUUUUUUUUUUUUUUUAAGAUUUUAUUUAUUUAUUUGACAGAGAAAGACACAGCGAGAGAGGGAACACAAACGGGGAGUGGGAGAGGGAGAAGCAGACUCCCUGCCGAGCAGGGAGCCCGAUGCGGGACUCGAUCCCGGGACUCCAGGAUCAUGACCUGAGCCGAAGGCAGUUGCUUAACCAACUGAGCCACCCAGGCGCCCAAGUGGAGCCUCUUCUAACAGCUAGUCCGGUCUCUAAGAGUAUGUGCCAUGCUUCCCCAUUGCAUCACUCUGCAGUCUUACCCUUGGUCAACAAUAUUUGGGAGUUGCCAAUUCAGUGUGUAUCUGUAAUCCCCUUUACCGUGUUCAGUAAGAAUCAAAAAGAAAUGAACACUAAAAACGGGCUAGUUUCCUAAGUUCAUUUUCUGGUCCUAUAAAAUCUAACUCCUGAAUUCAGCACUCUUUUGCUGUUUUACCCAGCGAGUGGGAGAAGGCCGUCCAGGAAAUCGCACUCUGGAGUAAUUAUUUCCACCAAUUCUCACACCUUUCUUUGUCCUGCCUUCACUUCUUCUCUUUAAAAGGUGGAUUUCCAGACACACUGAAAUUCUGUAGGGAGAACAUUGGGCUAACUAGGUGUGGUAACCCUCCCCGGGUGCAAAAUGCAACAUAUUUCUCCAGGAGUCCACGGAGGAGGAAGACAGCUGAUGGAGAAAGCCUGUCUCUUUCCCCAAACAGGUUGCUGAAGGGCAGCCCCCAGAUCAUAAUGUUUUCAGACCCUAAUUUUUUUUUUAAAGAUUUUAUUUAUUUAUUUGACAGAGAGAGACACAGCGAGAGAGGGAACACAAGCAGGGGGAGUGGGAGAGGGAGAAGCAGGCUCCCCGCAGAGCAGGGAGCCUGAUGCGGGACUCGAUCCCAGGACCCUGGGAUCAUGACCUGAGCUGAAGGCAGUCGCUUAACCAACUGAGCCACCCAGGCGUCCCCUAAUUUUUAAUAUAAAAAAAGUCUUAUGAACUUUAUGCAAUGGAACAUUAUUCAGCUUUAAAAAGGCAGGACAUUCUGGCAUAUGCCACAACAUGGAUGAACCUUGAGGACUUGGUGCUCAGUGAAAUAAGCCAGACACAGAAAGACAAGUAGUGAAUGAUCCCAUUUCUUAGGAGUACUUAGUCAAAAUCCUGGAGACAGGAAGUAGAAUGGUGGUGGUCGGGGUGCUUGGAUGGCUCAGUCGGUUAAGUUCCCGACUCUUGAUUCCCACUUGGGUCAUGAUCUCAGGGUCACGAGAUGAACUCUGUGCCGGGCUCGUGCUGGAUGCAAAGCCUGCUUCGGAUUCUUUCUCCCUCUGCCUGCACCCCUCCUCCCCCGUCUAUGAUGGUUGCCUGGCAGUAUGAAUGUACUUAAUACCUCUGAACUCUACGCUUAAAAAGGGUUCAGACGGUAAGCUUUCUGUUACGUAUUUUACCGCAGUAAAAGAAUGGAAGAAAAACAAGUAGUGUGCACUGUGCACUUCAGCGGGGACUGCCAAGGAGUAUGGGGCGGCCGGUACCGGAGACCGACGCGGCCGAGGCGCUCUCGCCUCCCGCUCCCCGGCGCCCGCAGGACCCCUGGGUCCAGAGCUGCUGCCUUCCUCCCCCCGCACGCAGACAUGCCGCGAUCGUCACUCAGGCCCACAGCGCUCCUGACUUUCCCCCUUGCCUUUUCCUUUUGUCCGGAACUGGGCACAGAGUCAGCAACUUCCUAAAAAGUCCGGGUCAGACGACUUUCAUCAUCAUCAUCAUUUUUCGAGCCAUUAAAAUAUACCAGUGUUUUAACCUCCUUCCCCAGCAACCGCGAGUAAAACUGAUGAGGACUAGGAACAGAGAAACGUUCACCUUUAGCCCAGACGCUGACGAGUAGCCCGCGUGGUUCUGGUGAGAAUCCAAUACGUGCUGGGUGCUAAGUUCUUAAGAUUUUUUUUAGAAUUAUGUUUUAUUUAUUUGAGAGAGAGAGUGAAUGAGAGAGAGCACGAGCGGGGGUGGGGGGGAGCAGCAGGCAGAGGCAGAGGGAGAAGCAGGCUCCCCACUGAGCAGGGAGCCUGACAUGGGGCUCGAUCCCAGGACCCUGAGAUCAUGACCUGAGCCGAAGGCAGACGCUUAACGACUGAGCCACCCAGGCGCCCAAGAUAUUAUUUAUUUAUUUGACAGAGAGAGACAUAGAGAGAGAGGGAACACAAGCAGGGGGAGGGGGAGAGGGAGAAGCAGGCUCCCCACUGAGCAGGGAGCCUGACAUGGGGCUCGAUCCCAGGACCCUGGGAUCAUGACCUGAGCCGAAGGCAGACGCUUAACGACUGAGCCACCCAGGCGCCCAAGAUAUUAUUUAUUUAUUUGACAGAGAGAGACAUAGAGAGAGAGGGAACACAAGCAGGGGGAGGGGGAGAGGGAGAAGCAGGCUCCCCGCAGAGCAGGGAGCCUGACAUGGGGCUCGAUCCCAGGACCCUGGGACCAUGACCUGAGCCGAGGGCAGCCGCCCAAUUGACCGAGCCACCCAAGCGCCCCUGGGUGCUAAGUUCUUACAGGGUCUCACGCCUGCCUGUGCAUCGCACCCACAGUUGCUACAGAAAGUAGUUUGCCAGUAGACAUUCAAAGACACAUUCAUGAUCGAACCCGCCCCGCACGUGUCCCGCCCCUCCCCCCUCCCCCCUCCCCCCUCCUCCUCCCUCCCCCCUCCCCGCUCCCCCGCCCGCCCCGAGCGCUAAGCUUGUCAGGCCAGCUUGACGAAGCCAAAGCUCAGCCCUUUCUGCCCCAAGGGUCCUGUCCCCGUGCUACUUAAAUAAACUUGCUAAGUUGCAACCCUAAAACGUCUCAAGAAUUCUUUUUGUCCAUCAUGCUUGACGAUCUCGCAACAAACUGAGAACAGCAUUUGUACGUUUUACGUAGGAGAAGACGGAAGCACAGGAAGGUGAAACGUCUGCCCACAGCUGCGCAGCUGGGAAGUUGCGGAGCCAGCUGUCACCAUCCAAACCGCCUGUUCCUCAAGAGAGAAACACAGCGAGAGAGGGAACACAAGCAGGGGGAGUGGGAGAGGGAGAAGCAGGCUUCCUGCUGAGCAGGGAGCCCGAUGCGGGGCUCGAUCCCAGGACGCUGGGAUCAUGACCUGAGCCGAAGGCAGACGCUUAACGACUGAGCCACCCAGGUGCCCCGCCACCCUGAUGUGAGGAAGCAGACCCUAUGGAGAGGCCACGUGUAAGUGUUCCCACUGGAAUGCAGCCAACAGCCAGCCUAACCUCCCAGCAUGUGAAUGAGUGACUCCAGGUAAUGCCAGCACCAGCCUGUUAAGUCACCGCUAGGCUCUGUCUUCCCGCUCAAGUCCCAGAGAUUUUGGAACAGAAACUGUCCCCCCUCGACUCUUUCACAGUUCUUUUUUUGUUUUUUAAGAUUUUAUUUAUUUAUUUGACAGAGAGAUAGAGAGCACAAGUAGGCAGAGUGGCAGGCAAAGAGGGAGAAGCAGACUCCCCGCUGAGCAGGGAGCCCGAUGCAGGGCUCAAUGCGGGGCUCGAUCCCAGGACUCUGCGAUCAUGACCUGAGCCGAAGGCAGACACUUAACCGACUGAGCCACCCAGGCGCCCCUACUCUUUCCCAAUUCUUGACCCUGGAGUGGUUUGUUACACAGCAGUAAUCAGAACAUUCCGUCAAGGUGGCGUCUAGGUGAAUGAGGAACUGUCAUGGUAGCAGAGAAAGGCAGACAACCUCAGCUCCCUGUGGCUGGCCUCGGGGACCUUACUGCUCUUGGCUGUGUUGGCCUUGUCCCUGGGGACUUUCUGCUGAGUUGCAGCUGUUCUGCUGGGCCUUUUGGAGUCUCAUCCUGACAGUAACUAAUUCACCCAUUUUCCUCUAGUUGCAAAGUCCCUGCCCAACCAGCUGCUCUGUCUCAUUUCCUUGUUUACAAAAGACGUUUGUUCUUAUCUAGGUGUCUUCCUGUGGAAGGAGAUAGGAGUCCAGUCUUCAGAAGCCAUUCUUCUCUUCCUCCCCCCAAAACUCCCACUGUGGCUGGAUUAGCUGGAUAGCUGGGUGUUUUUUAAUCCAUUUCCUCAGGAGCAGGAGGACCUGAUUCCUUCCAGCACCGGCCCCACCGCAGGGUUUCACGGGAAUAUUUGGGCAUGUCCUGCAAGGGGUGUAGGAAGGAGCAGCAGCAUGCAUUGCUGGCACCCCGACCUCAGUCUCCUGCAGGUUUCCCCGCCGCCUCACCUUGUAGUCAGAAGGGGCGAGCCACCUCUUCCAGCGCAGGGCAGGGGCUCACAUUCAUUCCCUUGUCUGACUUGGACCUCACAGCUGCCCUCUCCAGGGACCCCAAGACAAAGUGCAUUAUUUGUAGGGCUGAUCUCUCCUGAAGCUCCAAUUUAAAAAGGGAUUUUUGGACAAUCAGUAUAAAUGACCAGAGUUUGGAUCUUGCCCAUGCAUCGCUAGAAUGGACCUCCUGCAUGUCCCUUUACAACUUUAUUAUUUCUUCAUCUGUUGCAUUUUGAUGGUGAUUAUCUCCUAAGAUUGUUAAAAUGAUUAAAUGACUUUGUAAAUCACUUAGUCUGAUACAAGGUAAAUGUAAAACAAAAAUUAGUCACUAUGAUUAAAAAAUGUAUAUUAGCAAAUUCAAGACUCUGCAAGCUGUUUAGAGAACUGCUGCACUCUCCUAAACCAGACUUUCCCCCGUUGCUCCGUCCAUAGAAUCCUUUUAAAUAGCACACCUAUAUCAGAGGGAUCAGGGCGGUUUAGGGUGGAGACGGAGGAGCCGAGCGAACGGGACCGGGCGGGACACGACCACGCAGGAGUGCCGGGUGUCCAGGUCUGUGGACCGCCACUCCCCUCGGGACGGGCCGGGUCCCUCCCGGCGCCUGGGCCUGAGCCACGGACGCCUGCAGAGGCAGCGGGGCUGCGGACUGGGACCUGCCCCUUCUCCCCAUCCCAGCCGCGACAGCCGGCUCUGCUCUGCUUCCCUUCCGCGGCGUGUUGCCCGUUUCGCGUCACCCUGCUCUCACUGCCGGGAACCGACACCAGCCCUUCCCCACCUUCCGGUCGUGACUCAGCCUCACUGACGGGAAGCCUACCGACCCGCGGGGGCGGGCACCCGAGGGGGAGCGG